UUAAUAUUUAUUAAUGCAGUAAUAAGUUAAUUUUUACCCAAUAAAGAUUAUUAUAUUUAACUUUUUAUUGUUAUUAUAAUGUAUUGAUUAGUUUGUAAAAAUAUUUAAUAAGAAAAUACCGUUAAAAUGAAGUAUCAAUGUCCCAUGUUUAUCGAUAAACAACUGAUAAUUAUUUUGUCUCUUUCUUGCUUGAGCCAAAAGUCUUGAGAGCGAUAGAGACAGAUUAUUGAAGUAUUGGGGACAAACAAAUUCAUUGACUAGCUUUAUUGUUACCAUCUUUGAUAAUAUUAUUAUUAUCUAGGGUUCAAAACGACGCGCGAAACCCAUCUCCAUUAUAAAGUCACUACUAAUUUAUUAUAAUUAAUAUAAACAAUCGAUAGAUUAGUGGCGUUUUAGAUUUAGAGUGAAAAUCAAUAAUCCAAUAUAUCGUAUAGUACUAAAGGCCUUAAAUAUGGGACCUUACAAGUUCUCGACAUGCUUGCCGACUCAUAAUAAUAGCUUACCGUUAUAGCCUUGCACUUAGUAUAGGUUUAAACUAGAGUUUUUCAGCUUCAUACAAUUUUGUCUAUGGCCAUUCGACUGGACACAAACAACAAAUUGUUUCACACAAACAGUUUACAAGAACACUUUGCCUUUGUGUGAACGUACACGGAAAUAAAUGUGAUAUUGUAUUGUUUUUAUAUGUAAUGGUUUUUGAAAGUGCAGCAUUUUUGUGAAUGAGCAACAUUUUAAUGUAAUACACGUAUACUUUAUAAUAUCAUGGGGUUUUCUUGAUUUAUAUUGAACUAAUUAUUGUUUGGUAAUGCAUUUUUAAAAAUUUAUUGAAAUAUCAAUGUUUCCAUGUGUAUGAAAUUUAUUAUUAUUAAUUAAUUAAUUAAUGUUAUAUUAUAGUCAUUGGCUUUGUAAUUUUAAAAACGAUCAAUACGGCUCGACAAUUAUUCAGAGCAUAAUAAAAAUUAUUUAUUAUUUAUUUAAAAUAAAUUGCAUUUAACUGAUUGAUAAAAGCGCCAUGCUGUGUCGUCGUGCAUUAUGUCUUCGAUCCUCGAAUCGUUUUGUCUCCAUUUUAUAAUUAAAAUUACUUUUUCCUUUGUGACGAAUGAAUCUUCAUAGUUCAUAUAACUUUGGCGAUUUGCAAAGUCAAAAGAAAAACUUAUAAUUUAGGAACAAACAUUUUGCAUAUUACAUAUUUCACAACGUAAAUCUUGUGUGAACACAGCUUAAAUAUUUAAGCGUGAACAGUGCGUACAAAUUAUACCAUAUUAUACACGCCUGCUCUUUAUCAAGCCAAUGGUUAUUUUUAAUUAAAUUAACGCAUACGUUUUAUAAUUCGAAGCCAUUCCAUUCGACUCACUUGUAUGGUUAAUGUGAUAAUUAUACAUGGAACAAGCUUAAUGUUAAUAAUUUAAAAGAGUUAUUUUAUGUUUUAAUCGUUGUAUGUAAGAUAAUAAAUGAAAUCUGCGAA
Molecule: long non-coding RNA, 1462 nt
Organism: Colias croceus (clouded yellow)
Lineage: Eukaryota; Metazoa; Arthropoda; Insecta; Lepidoptera; Pieridae
Exons: 2
Source: RefSeq, a predicted model, not a curated record